RNAcentral lists this long non-coding RNA (1263 nucleotides) under Vulpes vulpes (red fox). RNAcentral describes it as "lncRNA (ENSVVUG00000020868.1)". The record is from RNAcentral. Lineage: Eukaryota; Metazoa; Chordata; Mammalia; Carnivora; Canidae.
UGAAAACUCACCAUGUAAAUGAGUGAUCAGAAAUACAUACUAUUCUUGUAAAAUGGCUCAAAAUACCUGAUUACCUGUCAGUGUUAACAUCUUUUAAAAUAGUAGUCAUGGCCUACACAAGAUGCCUAGGUGUUUAUCUAUGUCAUGUGUGGAUAGCACCCAGAUAAAUCUCAGGAAAAAUGUAUAUGAAAUGGUCAGUGUGUUAGCGAUUAUUGAUAUGGAGUGUUCACCUGAAUGGUGAGCAUGAACAGAAGCAUGCUUGUGCCAACAAAGAAGAAAGAAGCUCACCUGGAUGUAGCUCAGCUGGCAAGUCCUGAAUAUGAAUAUCCAUGGAGGAAUGUGAGGGCAGCCUGCUACCUCAUGUCAGCAUCCAUUAUAAGGCACCAUGCAAUGUGACAUGACACGGUAUGACAGAUGCAAUCCAACCCAAUAUGGCACCUGUGAAGUCAUUGCAGAUGAGGGAGUUAGAGCUCAUGUGCUCUCAUAUCUUAGCAAAGAAAUAUUGGAGAAAUGCUCAGCCAGUUUAUAGAAUCUUCAGAAAAAGAGUGGAAGAAGCUGUUUGUUUGAAUCUUUGUCUCAUACCUAGUACCAGACCAUUCAUGUUUGUAAAAAGUGUACUGAGCAAAGGCAAGCUGUUCCAACUCAACAUAUUUACUUCUAUGUUGCAUAAUCAUUCUGCUAGUCAGUCGUUUUAACAUCAAUAUGUCCAUAAUAAUAAUAGAAGGACUAGUGAUAAUAAUAACUCUCAUUUAUUUUUACGGUAAAUCAUUUUUGAAGAGUUUUAAAUUUAUUAUUCUAAUUGUGAAAAAAUGAAUGCACAGAGAAAUGGACAGACACGAAUAUGUCUUAUCUCUAUUGAAGAUGUUGUAAGGUGACAUGACUGAUUUUGGCAUAUCUAGUAUUCUUUUUCAAAACUCCAAACUCAUGAUGAAUGUCCUCUGCACUCUGCCUUCAAUCUUUCUAAAAGCAACAACUAAAUCUCAGUCACAUUUAGGAAAUGUAAAAAAUACACAAUGUUUCUUUGUGUAAAAUGUUUCUUGCAUAUGUUAAUAUCAAAAGCAACAGUGUACAAGCAUUCUAAAAUGUCCAUAAUAAUAGUGACACAAAGUAUACAUUAAAAGGAAGUGAGUAAUUUGUGACUUCAAAUUUGUUAAUUUUGCUUGACAGAUAAUUUAAUUUUGUUUUAACUGUCUUCAUAUACAAGUUACAUAUUUUCCCAUUUCAAAAGAUUCAUGGACUAAAAUAAACUAUAGGUAGUUAGCA